CCUGGUAGUCCACGCCGUAAACGAUGUCGAUUUGGAGGUUGUGCCCUUGAGGCGUGGCUUCCGGAGCUAACGCGUUAAAUCGACCGCCUGGGGAGUACGGCCGCAAGGUUAAAACUCAAAUGAAUUGACGGGGGCCCGCACAAGCGGUGGAGCAUGUGGUUUAAUUCGAUGCAACGCGAAGAACCUUACCUGGUCUUGACAUCCACAGAACUUAGCAGAGAUGCUUUGGUGCCUUCGGGAACUGUGAGACAGGUGCUGCAUGGCUGUCGUCAGCUCGUGUUGUGAAAUGUUGGGUUAAGUCCCGCAACGAGCGCAACCCUUAUCCUUUGUUGCCAGCGGUCCGGCCGGGAACUCAAAGGAGACUGCCAGUGAUAAACUGGAGGAAGGUGGGGAUGACGUCAAGUCAUCAUGGCCCUUACGACCAGGGCUACACACGUGCUACAAUGGCAUAUACAAGAGAAGCGAC
Molecule: ribosomal RNA, 466 nt
Filed under: Klebsiella pneumoniae IS10
Lineage: Bacteria; Pseudomonadati; Pseudomonadota; Gammaproteobacteria; Enterobacterales; Enterobacteriaceae
Description: SSU rRNA
Rfam family: Bacterial small subunit ribosomal RNA
Source: RNAcentral